GACGAACGCUGGCGGCGUGCUUAACACAUGCAAGUCGAACGGAAAGGCCUGCUUUCCCUUGUGGAUUGCGGGUACUCGAGUGGCGAACGGGUGAGUAACACGUGAGUGAUCUGCCCCCAACUUGGGCAUAAGCCUGGGAAACUGGGUCUAAUUCCCGAUAGGACUGCAGGGUGGUGCCUGUGGUGGAAAACGAUUUUCUAGUGGUUGGGGAUGAGCUCGCGGCCUAUCAGCUUGUUGGUGGGGUAAUGGCCUACCAAGGCGGCGACGGGUAGCCGGCCUGAGAGGGUGGACGGCCACAUUGGGACUGAGAUACGGCCCAGACUCCUACGGGAGGCAGCAGUGGGGAAUAUUGCACAAUGGGCGGAAGCCUGAUUCAGCGACGCCGCGUGGGGGAUGACGGCCUUCGGGUUGUAAACUCCUUUCGACCGCGAGGAAGCCACCUGGUUGGAAGGGUGGUGACGGUAGCGGUAGAAGAAGCACCGGCUAACUACGUG
RNAcentral lists this ribosomal RNA (494 nucleotides) under uncultured bacterium. RNAcentral's name for it is "partial 16S ribosomal RNA". It matches the Rfam family "Bacterial small subunit ribosomal RNA", at positions 28 to 507 of the family's 1533-position model. The record is from RNAcentral.